Carassius gibelio (silver crucian carp) is the source of this 1766-nucleotide long non-coding RNA. RefSeq lists it as uncharacterized. NCBI's taxonomy places the organism in Eukaryota, Metazoa, Chordata, Actinopteri, Cypriniformes, Cyprinidae. The transcript has 6 exons. The record is from RefSeq and is a predicted model, not a curated record.
UGCUCGAAAGUAGUUUAUAAAUAUGGGGAUAAAACAAAACACACACACACAGAGACAAUUUUUUAAGGCGCAGUUGUGGUUUAAUGAUAGAGACAGACUGGAGGAGUCCACAGGGAAAUAAUUAAAUACACACACAGUCCAGUGAUCUCAACUUAACAAACCAGAGAUAGAAAAGAUGCCUAAUGCCACUACAAGACCCAAGAGGAUGAGGCGUCACAGAUGAGCUCAGAGGAGAUGCUGCAAGAAAUGAGCUGGUGUCAAGAUCAUUGGAAAGUACUCAUUUACUCAUGUACUCAUUUUGUUCACUCUCAGUUGGCUCUGUAAGACUUUGCAAAUGAGUCCUUUAGGUUCACUCUGUUUAGAUGGGCUGAUGAGCUGGACUCUCUUGGACAUAUCCAGGAACUCUUUGAUUGCAAUGAACAAGCUUUGGAGUUGUUUCCAGUGGAUGAGGUUAUAGUGAACAGCAUGUGAGAGCAUCUGUUCAGGCCAUUUUUACAAAGCCCUUUAACUUUGACCAGACUUCCCAGAGGCGAAGGAGAGCCUUUACUGUGUUGCCAACUGGUUGGUGGAACGCUGGCACUUCUUAAUGCUCAGUGAUCAUGGGUCGGAACCACAAACACUAGUUGGCUAUAAAAAAUAUUUUGAGGGAAGAUACAGCUCCAUUCUGUAUAUAGGAACUGGCACGGGCAUCCUUGGGCAUUGCUGAGGGCUUGUGAGCUGUCAAAGACAAUGUAUGAGCUGGCAUGUGAGGUGUUCUCAGCCAAUGGGAUGGCAGAUAGCAUCAAGAUCCUUCACCUGAAGUCUCUGGACAUGGAAAUUCCAAAAGAUAUUCCAAACAGACUGUGAGCGUCUUCAGUGGGAGGCUUGGAUCUGUCUGCAGUAGGACGGAUCUGUGGUCCAGUUAGAUGUUUGGCUGAAACUGAGGACAGCACAGAACUCUACAACACUGAAAGACUGAGCCACCCGUGUGCUUUCUAAAGCAUCAUGCAACACUGAAAAAAGACUGGAGUAAUGGCUGCUGAAAAUUCAACUGUGCCAAAAACAGGAAUAAAUGAGAUUUUACAAUAUAUUAUAAUAGAGAACAGACUAUUUAAAUUGCAAUAACAAUUCACAUUUUGAGUAUUUUGAAGUAUUUACGCUAUCAUAAAAGAUGGACAAUGUAACCGGACCUUCCAAGAUCAUUAGUUGGCUUGAGAAAGCCAACUUACUGAUCUAUUAUUUAAACUUCUUAUUAUUAUUCUUAUGAGGCUAAAAUUUUCAACUCUUACUCCUCCUAGAGCUUUAACUCUACAGACUCCAAACUCUGAAGUCAGUUGCUUUAUCUUUUCUAACUGAGUGGACUUAUGGUUUUCAUAAAGAUUAAUAAAUAAAUCAUAAAAAUGUUUUGAAACAUUUUAAUUCAUAAAGAUAAAUCAUGAGGACAUGGACUAGAUGACGCCAUGUGCUAAUUAGCAUAUUUAUGAUAUAAGUGCAUCAUAUUGUAUUGCCUCCCUUUGCUCACAUACUGCAUUUUAAUUCAGCCAUUUAAUUUAAUUCUCAAUAAAACAGUUUUUAUUACUAAAUUUUAAUUUUUCUGUUGUCAGACAACGGAAUGAAUAUUAUAAUGACUGAAACGCGAUCCAUUAAGGCUACAUAACCAGCACUCAAAGAUUAUCUGCACUAAUGAAAUCAAAUACACAUACGAUAAAGUCAGUGGUUGUGCUGUGACUGAUGUGGGCUAUACUUUCUUGUAAAAUAGAGUUAGAAGCAACAGAAUAUCUUCUUUU